Molecule: unclassified non-coding RNA, 348 nt
Filed under: Hevea brasiliensis (rubber tree)
Lineage: Eukaryota; Viridiplantae; Streptophyta; Magnoliopsida; Malpighiales; Euphorbiaceae
Source: RNAcentral
CCCACAACCCCCCAGCCCCAAAAAAAAAGGGCCCUUUGUCUAUACCAGAAGUGAAGUAUAUAAUUUGCAUGGUCAAUUUAGAUGUCUUUUUUUUUUUUGCCCCACACCUCAUCUAAUGCUAAUUAUGAUUUUCAAGUUUCAUCUAAAGAUGUGCUUGGUUUCCUUUGCCUAUAGUGGGUGCAAUCUUGAUGCAUCGUGAAGCUUAACAAGAUAACACACUCACAUGUGUGAGUGUAAAAUUGAGAGAAAUUCUCUGCAGUAUUUAUUAAUCAAAAUCUGUCUCUGAAAUUCACAACUUUGAGGAGUAUUUACAGAAUUUAUAUUCCUAAACUAACUAGGAAAAUAUAA